This 215-nucleotide long non-coding RNA is filed under the name Mytilus galloprovincialis (Mediterranean mussel). Lineage: Eukaryota; Metazoa; Mollusca; Bivalvia; Mytilida; Mytilidae. The record is from RNAcentral.
UUGCCUAAAUAAUCGAUGACGACCUGAGUAUGUACGCAAUGAAAGUGGCGAUGUCCAGAAUAAUAAAGCUCCUGAGGCUCAACAAGUGGCCUGUAAAUUUCCGUUAAGGUACCGUCAAUAGCACCCACUGCCAUUGGGAGUUUUCCCCAGUUUUCCAUCUUUGCUGUUCAUUCAUUAAGAGAUGGCCAAUAUACCAGAUGAUGAAAAUGUUGGUA